This 481-nucleotide ribosomal RNA is filed under the name uncultured bacterium. RNAcentral describes it as "bacterial SSU rRNA". It matches the Rfam family "Bacterial small subunit ribosomal RNA", at positions 903 to 1397 of the family's 1533-position model. The record is from RNAcentral.
AAAGGAAUUGACGGGGACCCACACAAGCAGUGGAUCACGUGGUUUAAUUCGACAAUAAACGGGGAAUCUUACCCAGACUUGACAUCUAUAGAAUCUUGUAGAAAUAUGAGAGUGCUCGAAAGAGAACUAUAAGACAGGUGCUGCAUGGUUGUCGUCAGCUCGUGCCUUGAGGUGUUCGGUUAAGUCCGUUAACGAGCGCAACCCAUGUCAUUAGUUGUAUUUUCUAAUGAGACUGCCUUGGAUAACAAGGAGGAAGGUGUGGAUAACGUCAAAUCAGCAUGGCUUUUACGUCUGGGGCUACACACAUGAUACAAUGGUGUAUACAAAGAGUUGCGAAAUGGUAACAUUGAGCUAAUCUAUAAAAUACAUCUAAGUCCGGAUUGAGGUCUGAAACUCGACCUCAUGAAGUUGGAAUUGCUAGUAAUCGUAAAUCAGACAUGUUACGGUGAAUAUGUUCCUGGGUCUUGUACACACCGCCCGU